GCGACAGGCUUAACACAUGCAAGUCGAGGGGCAGCACAGGUAGCAAUACCGGGUGGCGACCGGCGCACGGGUGAGUAACGCGUAUGCAACUUGCCUAUCAGAGGGGGAUAACCCGGCGAAAGUCGGACUAAUACCGCAUGAAGCAGGGAUCCCGCAUGGGAAUAUUUGCUAAAGAUUCAUCGCUGAUAGAUAGGCAUGCGUUCCAUUAGGCAGUUGGCGGGGUAACGGCCCACCAAACCGACGAUGGAUAGGGGUUCUGAGAGGAAGGUCCCCCACAUUGGUACUGAGACACGGACCAAACUCCUACGGGAGGCAGCAGUGAGGAAUAUUGGUCAAUGGCCGAGAGGCUGAACCAGCCAAGUCGCGUGAGGGAUGAAGGUUCUAUGGAUCGUAAACCUCUUUUAUAAGGGAAUAAAGUGCGGGACGCGUCCCGUUUUGUAUGUACCUUAUGAAUAAGGAUCGGCUAACUCCGUGCCAGCAGCCGCGGUAAUACGGAGGAUCCGAGCGUUAUCCGGAUUUAUUGGGUUUAAAGGGUGCGUAGGUGGCCUUUUAAGUCAGCGGUGAAAGUCUGUGGCUCAACCAUAGAAUUGCCGUUGAAACUGGGGGGCUUGAGUAUGUUUGAGGCAGGCGGAAUGCGUGGUGUAGCGGUGAAAUGCAUAGAUAUCACGCAGAACCCCGAUUGCGAAGGCAGCCUGCCAAGCCAUUACUGACGCUGAUGCACGAAAGCGUGGGGAUCAAACAGGAUUAGAUACCCUGGUAGUCCACGCAGUAAACGAUGAUCACUAGCUGUUUGCGAUACAUUGUAAGCGGCACAGCGAAAGCGUUAAGUGAUCCACCUGGGGAGUACGCCGGCAACGGUGAAACUCAAAGGAAUUGACGGGGGCCCGCACAAGCGGAGGAACAUGUGGUUUAAUUCGAUGAUACGCGAGGAACCUUACCCGGGUUUGAACGCAUUCGGACCGAGGUGGAAACACCUUUUCUAGCAAUAGCCGUUUGCGAGGUGCUGCAUGGUUGUCGUCAGCUCGUGCCGUGAGGUGUCGGCUUAAGUGCCAUAACGAGCGCAACCCUUGCCACUAGUUACUAACAGGUGAUGCUGAGGACUCUGGUGGGACUGCCAGCGUAAGCUGCGAGGAAGGCGGGGAUGACGUCAAAUCAACACGGCCCUUACAUCCGGGGCGACACACGUGUUACAAUGGCGUGGACAAAGGGAGGCCACCUGGCGACAGGGAGCGAAUCCCCAAACCACGUCUCAGUUCGGAUCGGAGUCUGCAACCCGACUCCGUGAAGCUGGAUUCGCUAGUAAUCGCGCAUCAGCCAUGGCGCGGUGAAUACGUUCCCGGGCCUUGUACACACCGCCCGUCAAGCCAUGGGAGCCGGGGGUACCUGAAGUCCGUAACCGCGAGGAUCGGCCUAGGGUAAAACUGGUGACUGGG
Molecule: ribosomal RNA, 1433 nt
Filed under: uncultured organism
Description: 16S ribosomal RNA
Rfam family: Bacterial small subunit ribosomal RNA
Source: RNAcentral